Long non-coding RNA from Bolinopsis microptera, 424 nucleotides. RefSeq lists it as uncharacterized. The transcript is spliced from 3 exons. NCBI's taxonomy places the organism in Eukaryota, Metazoa, Ctenophora, Tentaculata, Lobata, Bolinopsidae. The record is from RefSeq and is a predicted model, not a curated record.
AGGAUAUGUGGAGUCUCUAUGUGGCUAGUGGGUUUACCUCUCGCAUUUAACUUCCUCGACCUAGGCUGGGACUUCAAGAUACCCAAGUUCAUGUUAGCGUCUGCAGCAUUCUUCUUCGCGGGGUGGUACGCGGGCGGUAUCAUUUCUUGGGCGCCGACAAGUGAGACAUCUGGAGUACUCCACUGCUCACAAGAGACUGUUCUUCACCACUAUUGGAGCUUCAGGCAGGCCUAUUACUAAUAGUUUCAGACAGGGCGAGGUGGUGUUUGAUGAUUCUGUCAACGAAACUUCCAGGGUGUAUUUAAAAGUAGUAAACAAGGAGUACGUACUCCAGCUGUAACAAGGGAGAGCUGCAUAACGAGGACUUGUUGUGGAAACUUGUUGCUAGAAAAAGACUUUGAUAAUAUACCUUGGGAUCAGAGAA